GCAUGUGAUGACAUAAAUAUUCUUCACUUUGACCUGAUUCUAGUGAUGAUCACCUUCAGUCUGAGC
Scomber scombrus (Atlantic mackerel) is the source of this 66-nucleotide small nucleolar RNA. RefSeq annotates it as small nucleolar RNA SNORD37. The record is from RefSeq and is a predicted model, not a curated record. The transcript has a single exon. NCBI's taxonomy places the organism in Eukaryota, Metazoa, Chordata, Actinopteri, Scombriformes, Scombridae.